GACAGAGGAUGCAAGCGUUUAUCCGGAAUGAUUGGGCGUAAAGCGUCUGUAGGUGGCUUUUUAAGUCCGCCGUCAAAUCCCAGGGCUCAACCCUGGACAGGCGGUGGAAACUACCAAGCUGGAGUAUGGUAGGGGUAGAGGGAAUUUCCAGUGGAGCGGUGAAAUGCGUAGAUAUUGGAAAGACCACCGAUGGCGAAGGCACUCUACUGGGCCACUACUGACACUGAGAGACGAAAGCUAGGGGAGCAAAUGGG
This 254-nucleotide ribosomal RNA is filed under the name uncultured bacterium. RNAcentral's name for it is "partial 16S ribosomal RNA". It matches the Rfam family "Bacterial small subunit ribosomal RNA", at positions 524 to 776 of the family's 1533-position model. The record is from RNAcentral.